This 656-nucleotide small RNA is filed under the name Homo sapiens (human). Lineage: Eukaryota; Metazoa; Chordata; Mammalia; Primates; Hominidae. The record is from RNAcentral.
ACAUGGAUUGUGAAUUAUGUGUCUUUCAUUUUUAUUUCUUUUGAGACAGGAUCUCUCACUCUCACCCAGGUUGGAGUGCAGUGGUGUGAUCACGACUCACUGCAGUCUUGAACUUGCCAGGCUCAAGCAAUCCUCCUACCUCAGCCUUCUGAGUAGCUGAGACCACAGGGAUGUGAAGAGACAGGGUCUCACUAUAUUGCCCCGGCUAAUCUCGAACUCCUGGACUCAAGCAAUCUGCCCGCCUCAGCCUGCCAAAAUGCUGGGAUUACAGGGAGAUCCCCAGAGGCAAUUGUCCACCUGACUUCAGAAUCAGAAGUAGCUCUGCUUUUCCUGAGAAGUGGUGCGGGUUUUGCCUUAUGGAUGCUAACUGAGACUGGAACAUGUUCCCUUUUUUGUAUCAGCUGCUGGUACAAAAUUGAGAGUUGAGAGCCAAAACUGUACCCUUAUCACCUGUCAGUAACUUAAGGAGUCUGAGAAUAUCUGUUGACCAGAGAUAAACUAUCGGGAGGCUUUGAAGUGCUGUAAAUGCUUUACCUAUUUGAGGUUUCAUUAUUAUUUUGUCUUUUACAUUUAGUCAUUUUCUGCAAGAGGGGAGAAAAACGGCUUAUGUGACAUUAUAAAAAUAUGAAAAGUCAAAUAAAAAACAAGCCAAUGCA